UUUUAUUGUAACUAUUCUAGGGGAACUAUUUUAGCUUUUGGCUUUAAUACGCUUCCUCUAUUAUUAUGUUCUUUAAAUAACAAAGAUUCUUUUUAAAAUCCCCACUUUUGCUUUUGCUUUUUUGGGGAUUUUGUUACUUUGAGUAAAUUAGAGUGUUCAAAGCAAACAGUUAAAGCAUUUACUGUGUUUGAAUACUAUAGCAUGGAAUAACAAAAUUGAACAAGCUAAAAUUUUUUGUUCUUUUUUCUUAUUUUGGCUUAGUUACGAUUAAUAGGAGUAGCUUGGGGACAUUCGUAUUCAGAUGUCAGAGGUGAAAUUCUUAGAUUUUCUGGAGACGAACAACUGCGAAAGCAUUUGUCUAAAAUACUUCCAUUAAUCAAGAACGAAAGUUAAGGGAGUGAAGACGAUCAGAUACCGUCGUAAUCUUAACCAUAAACUAUGCCGACUAGGUGUUGGAUGAAAGUGUUAAAAAUAAAAGUCAUCUUUCGAGGUGACUUUCAGAUUGCUUCCCUCAGUACCUUAUGAGAAAUCAAAGUCUUUGGGUUCUGGGGCGAGUAUUCGCGCAAGCGAGAAAGUUAAAAGAAUUGACGGAAGGGCACCACCAGGCGUGGAGCUUGCGGCUUAAUUUGACUCAACACGGGGAAACUCACUAGUUUAAGACAAGAGUAGGAUUGACAGAUUAAUAGCUCUUUCUUGAUUUCUUGGAUGGUGAUGCAUGGCCGUUUUUAGUUCGUGAAUAUGAUUUGUCUGGUUAAUUCCGAUAACGAACGAGAUCUUAACCUGCUAAUUAGCGGCGAGUACACUAUAUUCUUAUUUGAAAUUGAACAUAGGUAACUAUACAUUUAUUCAGUAAUCAAAUUAGGAUAUUUAAAAUAAAAUAUCCUUUUCCCUGUUCUAAUAAUAAAUUGUUUUUUACUCUAUUUCUCUCUUCUUUUAAGAA
This 940-nucleotide ribosomal RNA is filed under the name Plasmodium falciparum (malaria parasite P. falciparum). RNAcentral's name for it is "SSU rRNA". It matches the Rfam family "Eukaryotic small subunit ribosomal RNA", at positions 634 to 1419 of the family's 1831-position model. Lineage: Eukaryota; Apicomplexa; Aconoidasida; Haemosporida; Plasmodiidae. The record is from RNAcentral.